Molecule: ribosomal RNA, 856 nt
Filed under: uncultured bacterium
Lineage: Bacteria
Description: bacterial SSU rRNA
Rfam family: Bacterial small subunit ribosomal RNA
Source: RNAcentral
CGCUGGCGGCAGGCCUAACACAUGCAAGUCGGACGGUAACAGGAGAGAAGCUUGCUUUUCUUGCUGACGAGUGGCGGACGGGUGAGUAACGCGUGGGAAUCUACCCUUUAGUUGGGGACAACAUAUGGAAACGUAUGCUAAUACCGAAUAUGCUCUACGGAGUAAAGGUGCCCUCUCCUUGGAAGGUAUCGCUAAAGGAUGAGCCCGCGUUAGAUUAGCUAGUUGGUAGGGUAAAGGCCUACCAAGGCGACGAUCUAUAGCUGGUUUGAGAGGAUGAUCAGCCACACUGGGACUGAGACACGGCCCAGACUCCUACGGGAGGCAGCAGUGGGGAAUAUUGCACAAUGAGGGAAACCUUGAUGCAGCCAUGCCGCGUGUGUGAAGAAGGCCCGAGGGUUGUAAAGCACUUUCAAUUGUGAGGAAGAUUAAGUAGCUAAUACCUGCUUAGUUUGACGUUAACUUUAGAAGAAGCACCGGCUAACUCUGUGCCAGCAGCCGCGGUAAUACAGAGGGUGCAAGCGUUAUUCGGAAUUACUGGGCGUAAAGCGCGCGUAGGCGGACUGUUAAGUCGGUUGUGAAAGCCCUGGGCUCAACCUAGGAACUGCAUCCGAUACUGGCAAUCUAGAGUUUAAGAGAGGGAAGUGGAAUUCCAGGUGUAGCAGUGAAAUGCGUAGAUAUCUGGAGGAACAUCAGUGGCGAAGGCGACUUCCUGGCUUAAAACUGACGCUGAGGUGCGAAAGCUUGGGUAGCGAACGGGAUUAGAUACCCCGGUAGUCCAAGCCGUAAACGAUGUCAACUAGCUGUUGGUCUUAUUAAAAAGAUUAGUAGCGCAGCUAACGCGAUAAGUUGACCGCCU